UAACACUGUUCAGUUCUGUGGACAUUCGAACACAGGCUCUCCAGAGUUAAGUCCAGACAAAAAUCAUAUCACCUGAAACACACUCCGGUUUUUAAGGUCUGAAGAAAUAUGAGGACAUGACGACUGAAAUCAUGGAGAGUCCAUGUUUCUGAUUUAUAACUUCUCCUGUGUUUGUCAAAGAAAGCUGAAAACUCAAACCUAGUAUAUAAUGAUAAGACGUAGUAACCUGUUGUAAGGAAGAAGUGGAUCUUCCACUCCUUUCUUGAUCUUCAAAAGGUUUCAUCAGGAUCGGAACACUUGGUGUCUACAACAUAGCAACAGUGCAGUGUCAGAAAUAUUCAAAUUUAUUCAUCCUGAUUAGUUAAUAAAUGAAUAAACAUUGUUAUUCAUUGAACAUCGCUCACAGGAGGGUUUGGGAUUAAUAUAAGACACUAUAGAAAGUUAACACUGUUCAGCUCUGUGUAACAGCAAUAUGGGGACAUUCGAACACAGGCUCUCCAGAGUUAAGUCCAGACAAAAAUCAUAUCACCUGAAACACACUCCGGUUUUUCAGGUCUAAAGAAAUAUGAGGACAUGACGACUGAAAUCAUGGAGAGUCCAUGUUUCUGAUUUAUAACUUCUUCUGUGUUUGUCAAAGAAAGCUGAAAACUCAAACCUAGUAUAUCAUGACAAGAAGUAGUAACCUGUUGUAAGGAUGAAGUGUGUCUAUCAUUCCAUUCAUGGUCUCCAGAGGGUUCAGUCAGGUCACUUGGUGUCUGCAACAUAACAUUACGGUGUCAAAAUAUUCAGCAUUCUUCAUUUUGACCAGUUAAGAAAUGAAUAAAUAUUAAUUAUCAUUGAACAUUGCUCACGGGAGAGUUUGGGAUGAAUAUACCACACUAUAGAAAGUUAACACUGUUCAGUUCUGUGGAACAGCAAUAUGGGGACAUUCGAACACAGGCUCUCCAGAGUUAGGUUAAGACAAAAGUCAUGUCACCUGAAACACACUGAGGUUUUUCAGGUCUGAAGAAAUAUGAGGACAUGACGACUGAAAUUAUGGAGAGUCUAUGUUUCUGACUUAUAACUUCUCCUGUGUUUGUCAAAGAAAGCUGAAAACUCAAACCUAGUAUAUCAUGAUAAGAAGUAGUAACCUGUUGUAAGAAUGAAGUGGAUCUCUCACUCCAUUCAUGGUCUCCAGAGGGUUCAGUCAGGUCACUUGGUGUCUGCAACAUAACAUUACGGUGUCAAAAGUUUCAGCAUUCUUCAUUCUGACCAGUUAAGAAAUGAAUAAAUAUUAAUUAUCAUUGAACAUUGCUCACGGGAGAGUUUGGGAUGAAUAUACCACACUAUAGAAAGUUAACACUGUUCAGUUCUGUGGAACAGCAAUAUGGGGACAUUCGAACACAGGCUCUCCAGAGUUAGGUUAAGACAAAAGUCAUGUCACCUGAAACACACUCAGGUUUUUCAGGUCUGAAGAAAUAUGAGGACAUGACGACUGAAAUCAUGGAGAGUCUAUGUUUCUGACUUAUAACUUCUCCUGUGUUUGUCAAAGAAAGCUGAAAACUCAAACCUAGUAUAUCAUGAUAAGAAGUAGUAACCUGUUGUAAGAAUGAAGUGGAUCUCUCACUCCAUUCAUGGUCUCCAGAGGGUUCAGUCAGGUCACUUGGUGUCUGCAACAUAACAUUACGGUGUCAAAAGUUUCAGCAUUCUUCAUUCUGACCAGUUAAGAAAUGAAUAAAUAUUAAUUAUCAUUGAACAUUGCUCACGGGAGAGUUUGGGAUGAAUAUACCACACUAUAGAAAGUUAACACUGUUCAGUUCUGUGGAACAGCAAUAUGGGGACAUUCGAACACAGGCUCUCCAGAGUUAGGUUAAGACAAAAGUCAUGUCACCUGAAACACACUCAGGUUUUUCAGGUCUGAAGAAAUAUGAGGACAUGACGACUGAAAUCAUGGAGAGUCUAUGUUUCUGACUUAUAACUUCUCCUGUGUUUGUCAAAGAAAGCUGAAAACUCAAACCUAGUAUAUCAUGAUAAGAAGUAGUAACCUGUUGUAAGAAUGAAGUGGAUCUCUCACUCCAUUCAUGGUCUCCAGAGGGUUCAGUCAGGUCACUUGGUGUCUGCAACAUAACAUUACGGUGUCAAAAGUUUCAGCAUUCUUCAUUCUGACCAGUUAAGAAAUGAAUAAAUAUUAAUUAUCAUUGAACAUUGCUCACGGGAGAGUUUGGGAUGAAUAUACCACACUAUAGAAAGUUAACACUGUUCAGUUCUGUGGAACAGCAAUAUGGGGACAUUCGAACACAGGCUCUCCAGAGUUAGGUUAAGACAAAAGUCAUGUCACCUGAAACACACUCAGGUUUUUCAGGUCUGAAGAAAUAUGAGGACAUGACGACUGAAAUCAUGGAGAGUCUAUGUUUCUGACUUAUAACUUCUCCUGUGUUUGUCAAAGAAAGCUGAAAACUCAAACCUAGUAUAUCAUGAUAAGAAGUAGUAACCUGUUGUAAGGAUGAAGUGGAUCUCUCACUCCAUUCAUGGUCUCCAGAGGGUUCAGUCAGGUCACUUGGUGUCUGCAACAUAACAUUACGGUGUCAAAAUAUUCAGCAUUCUUCAUUCUGACCAGUUAAGAAAUGAAUAAAUAUCAAUUAUCAUUGAACAUUGCUCACGGGAGAGUUUGGGAUGAAUAUACCACACUAUAGAAAGUUAACACUGUUAAGUUCUGUGGAACAGCAAUAUGGGGACAUUCGAACACAGGCUCUCCAGAGUUAGGUUAAGACAAAAGUCAUGUCACCUGAAACACACUCAGGUUUUUCAGGUCUCAAGAAAUAUGAGGACAUGACGACUGAAAUCAUGGAGAGUCCAUGUUUCUGAUUUAUAACUUCUCCUGUGUUUGUCAAAGAAAGCUGAAAACUCAAACCUAGUAUAUCAUGAUAAGAAGUAGUAACCUGUUGUAAGGAUGAAGUGGAUCUCUCACUCCAUUCUUGGUUUCCAGAGGGUUCAGUCAGGUACCUGUCACUUGAUGUCUGCAACAUAACAACAUUACGGUGUCAAAAGUUUCAGCAUUCAUCAUUCUGACCAGUUAAGAAAUGAAUAAACCUUAUUUCUCAUUGAACAUUGCUCACAGGAGAGUUUGGGAAUAAUGUACAACACUAUAGUAAGUUAACACUGUUCAGCUCUGAGUAACAGCAAUAUGGGGACAUUCGAACACAGGCUCUCCAGAGUUAGGUUAAGACAAAAGUCAUGACACCUGAAACACACUCAGGUUUUUCAGGUCUAAAGAAAUAUGAGGACAUGACGACUGAAAUCAUGGAGAGUCCAUGUUUCUGAUUUAUAACUUCUGCUGUGUUUGUCAAAGAAAGCUGAAAACUCAAACCUAGUAUAUCAU
Hippocampus zosterae (dwarf seahorse) is the source of this 3358-nucleotide long non-coding RNA. RefSeq lists it as uncharacterized. The record is from RefSeq and is a predicted model, not a curated record. The transcript is spliced from 4 exons. Lineage: Eukaryota; Metazoa; Chordata; Actinopteri; Syngnathiformes; Syngnathidae.